This 342-nucleotide unclassified non-coding RNA is filed under the name Octopus sinensis (East Asian common octopus). RNAcentral describes it as "uncharacterized LOC118767116, transcript variant X2". The record is from RNAcentral. Lineage: Eukaryota; Metazoa; Mollusca; Cephalopoda; Octopoda; Octopodidae.
AUCAAGAUAACGAUGAUGAUUAUGAUGAAUAUAAGCUUUUACGUAACAGAAAUUUUAAUAAAGAUGGAUUAAGUAAUUUGAAGUAUGAUUUACGUGAGUUGAAGUCUGAGAAGCUGUUUACCCAUGUAAAAGUUCAUCUCGUGGAAUUACACGUGGAAGCAACAAAAUACAAGUCAACUAAAUCAUACGUGACACUUAUGUCAAACAAAACAGAAAGAUCAAAAGUGAUGGAACGACCAAACAAGACGAAAAGACCAAAUGGGACGGAAAGACCAAACGGGACGGAAAGACCAAACGGGACGGAAAGACCAAACAAGACGGAAAUAUCAAACCAGACAGAAA